Molecule: ribosomal RNA, 301 nt
Filed under: uncultured bacterium
Lineage: Bacteria
Description: bacterial SSU rRNA
Rfam family: Bacterial small subunit ribosomal RNA
Source: RNAcentral
AAUCAACGCUGGCGGCGUGCCUCAGACAUGCAAGUCGAACGAGAAAGUUUCCUUCGGGAGAUGAGUAAAGUGGCGCACGGGUGAGUAACACGUAGGUAAUCUACCUUCGGGUGGGGAAUAACCCAGGGAAACUUGGGCUAACACCGCAUAAUGCAGCGGCACCACAUGGUGACAGUUGUUAAAGCGGGGGAUUUUAGGACCUCGCGCCUGAAGAGGAGCCUGCGGCGGAUUAGCUAGNGGUAAGGUAACGGCUUACCAAGGCGACGAUCCGUAACCGGCCUGAGAGGGCGGUCGGUCACAC